This 253-nucleotide ribosomal RNA is filed under the name uncultured bacterium. RNAcentral's name for it is "partial 16S ribosomal RNA". It matches the Rfam family "Bacterial small subunit ribosomal RNA", at positions 524 to 776 of the family's 1533-position model. The record is from RNAcentral.
UACGGAGGGUGCAAACGUUGCUCGGAAUCAUUGGGCGUAAAGCGCACGUAGGCGGUCCGGUAAGUCGGAUGUGAAAUCCCUCGACUCAACCGAGGAAGGGCAUCCGAAACUGCCGGGCUUGAGUACGGAAGAGGGUCUCGGAAUUCCCGGUGUAGAGGUGAAAUUCGUAGAUAUCGGGAGGAACACCAGUGGCGAAGGCGGAGACCUGGGCCGAUACUGACGCUGAGGUGCGAAAGCGUGGGGAGCAAACAGG